AGAGUUUGAUCCUGGCUCAGGAUGAACGCUGACAGAAUGCUUAACACAUGCAAGUCUACUUGAACUUCGGUUUGGGUGGCGGACGGGUGAGUAACGCGUAAAGAACUUGCCUCACAGUUAGGGACAACAUUUGGAAACGAAUGCUAAUACCUGAUAUUAUGAUUUUAGGGCAUCCUAAGAUUAUGAAAGCUAUAUGCGCUGUGAGAGAGCUUUGCGUCCCAUUAGCUAGUUGGAGAGGUAACGGCUCACCAAGGCGAUGGUGGGUAGCCGGCCUGAGAGGGUGAACGGCCACAAGGGGACUGAGACACGGCCCUUACUCCUACGGGAGGCAGCAGUGGGGAAUAUUGGACAAUGGACCAAAAGUCUGAUCCAGCAAUUCUGUGUGCACGAUGACGUUUUUCGGAAUGUAAAGUGCUUUCAGUUGGGAAGAAAAAAAUGACGGUACCAACAGAAGAAGUGACGGCUAAAUACGUGCCAGCAGCCGCGGUAAUACGUAUGUCACAAGCGUUAUCCGGAUUUAUUGGGCGUAAAGCGCGUCUAGGUGGUUAUGUAAGUCUGAUGUGAAAAUGCAGGGCUCAACUCUGUAUUGCGUUGGAAACUGCAUGACUAGAGUACUGGAGAGGUAAGCGGAACUACAAGUGUAGAGGUGAAAUUCGUAGAUAUUUGUAGGAAUGCCGAUGGGGAAGCCAGCUUACUGGACAGAUACUGACGCUAAAGCGCGAAAGCGUGGGUAGCAAACAGGAUUAGAUACCCUGGUAGUCCACGCCGUAAACGAUGAUUACUAGGUGUUGGGGGUCGAACCUCAGCGCCCAAGCUAACGCGAUAAGUAAUCCGCCUGGGGAGUACGUACGCAAGUAUGAAACUCAAAGGAAUUGACGGGGACCCGCACAAGCGGUGGAGCAUGUGGUUUAAUUCGACGCAA
RNAcentral lists this ribosomal RNA (922 nucleotides) under uncultured bacterium. RNAcentral's name for it is "bacterial SSU rRNA". It matches the Rfam family "Bacterial small subunit ribosomal RNA", at positions 8 to 959 of the family's 1533-position model. The record is from RNAcentral.